This is a long non-coding RNA of Capsicum annuum, 479 nucleotides long. RefSeq lists it as uncharacterized. Lineage: Eukaryota; Viridiplantae; Streptophyta; Magnoliopsida; Solanales; Solanaceae. The transcript has 3 exons. The record is from RefSeq and is a predicted model, not a curated record.
UCGUUCCUCUCCUCCACUCCUACUUUCUCUCUCUCUCUCAAACUCUACCCACCCAGUCGCUUCACUAAUUUUGGUCACCAUAGUUGGUGAACCUCUAAUAGUGCCUUUCUAUCCGCCAUAGCAAUAGUCACGACCAACAUCUACCACCAACCCCUCUUUAUCUUCUCUUUCUUUGUUUGAACUUAAAAAUACCCCACAAGGUUUGCUUCUCCGAUGAACUUUUGGAAGUUCCAACAUAGCAAGAAUCAAGUUAAAAGAUUCAAAAAUACUAGAUUUAAGGAUUGAAGGAUAAGUCAACUUUGAUAUACCCAUGCUGGCUAACAAGCUUUGAUUUAUGAUGGAUUCUUACGAAUUUGUCCCUGGGUGAUGGAGUGAAGAUGGACGUUUAGUGGACGAUUCAAGGAUUUGUGAUUUAGCUUCGAGGUUUUGAGAAACGAGCUCCAGCCCAGCAGUAGCGGUAUCAUUUUGGUCGUAGAGAC